AGGGAUUCAUAUCAUAAAACAUUUAUACACAAAGCUUGUCUACCGCAAGACUGAAUCACACGCCCAGGAUCUCAUUCAAAUACAAAUGUUCCUCCUCAGAAGAGUCUCUGGUUGGUUGAUUUGGUUUUCUUUUUUUUUACAAAAGUUUAAAAUAUUUUUAAAAUAUUUUGAAGUUUUAAUAAAAAGUCCUGGUGUGCCAGACAUAUUUCUGGAAGGAGGCAAGACCCACGUUCUCAGCUUUGUUUUGUGCUAAACACAGAGUCACAGUAGCUGGGGACUGGAAAAUGAACUGGGUAAAAAAAAUGGAGCCAACGUCUCGAUUUGAAGCCAGAUAUACACCAAGACGCUCCAUCCCUCAAGGACCAGGCAGACACGUCAGCAGCGACAUCUCCCAGAGGACAAGGAGAGGCAGCUUCCCAUAAAACAAGGGGCGUCUGAGGGCCGGUGCUGGAGAGGGGGCGAAGGCUGCUCCCGGGCCCGGGGCCCGCACCCACGCCAAGUUCUGGGAUCGGGGUUUUGUGUGCUCUGCGGUCUUGUGCUUGUUGAAUUUCUGCACAGCGGUAUUUAAAACAUCCGUGCGGAUGGCCUGGGGCCGCCUGGCCUGGGUCUGAGGGCUGGACGAACCUCUAGCUGCCUGGAGCGGUUUCUCUUGGGUCCUUUCCUGGCUUGCGUCUGAGGCUUGGGGGUAAGGGAGGCGCCUCUGCCCUCAGCACUUCCCGUGAUGCUGCCUGGGCCCUGACCACUGUGCGUGGCACCUGGGUGACACAGGACGCCCUGUGCUAGGCCGGGGUGGGGGGACGGGUCUGCUCUCGUCUUGUGCUUCACCACCAUCUCUGGGGGUGUGCUGGGGAUCUGGGGCGAGAACAGGGGACCAGAGGUACAGAGAGGGAGCUGCAAAGAGCCCAGAACUCAUCCAAGGCCACCUCCUGCUCCUGGGAAUUUCCCACAUGGCCUCUGGCUAAUCCUGCCUAAGGCGUUCUGCCUCUUGCACACCAGCCAGCUUCUCUGGGCCUCAGUUUCCUCCUGUGCGGUAGGGCUCUCAAUGCCCAGAUCACAGAGGGCUGCUGGGUGCAGGGCCACGGUGAAUGGGCGCUGCCCCUCCGACCGAAGGCCAGCUACCCGCC
RNAcentral lists this long non-coding RNA (1124 nucleotides) under Equus caballus (horse). Its description in RNAcentral is "lncRNA (ENSECAG00000044816.1)". The record is from RNAcentral. Lineage: Eukaryota; Metazoa; Chordata; Mammalia; Perissodactyla; Equidae.